This 370-nucleotide ribosomal RNA is filed under the name uncultured organism. Its description in RNAcentral is "bacterial SSU rRNA". It matches the Rfam family "Bacterial small subunit ribosomal RNA", at positions 528 to 896 of the family's 1533-position model. The record is from RNAcentral.
GAGGGUGCGAGCGUUGUCCGGAAUCACUGGGCGUAAAGGGCGCGUAGGUGGCGAUCCAAGUCCAUGGUGAAAGCUCGAUGCUCAACAUCGAGUCGGCCACGGAUACUGGGUUGCUUGAGCACUGUAGGGGCAGAUGGAAUUCCGGGUGUAGCGGUGGAAUGCGUAGAGAUCCGGAAGAACACCGGUGGCGAAGGCGGUCUGCUGGGCAGUUGCUGACACUGAGGCGCGACAGCGUGGGGAGCAAACAGGAUUAGAUACCCUGGUAGUCCACGCCGUAAACGAUGGGCACUAGAUGCUUGGGGGAGCGACCCCCUGAGUGUCGUCGCUAACGCAGUAAGUGCCCCGCCUGGGGAGUACGGCCGCAAGGCUG